UUUUUUUUUUUUUUUUGAGAUGGAGUCUCACUGUGUCACCCAGGCUGGAGUGCAGUGGCACAAUCUCAGCUCACUGCAACCUCUGCCUCCUGGGUUCAAGUGAUUCUCCUGCCUCAGCCUCCUGAGUAGCCAGGAUUACAGGCGCCCACCACCACGCCUGGCUAAUUUUUGUAUUUUUAGUAGAGAUGGGGUUUUGCCAUGUUGGUCAGUCUGGUCUCAAACUCCUGACCUCGUGAUCUGCACGCCUCGGCCUCCCAAAGUGCUGGGAUUACAGGUGUAAGCCACCGCACCCAGCCGAUCAAAUAACUUCUCUAUGUCUAUGCAAUAUUUGAUUUCAUCUUCACAGCAGCUCUAUCAGGUUUCUAUUACUAUUAUUUCCAUGUUAGUGAUGUGGAAAUUUAGGAAGUAUAAGUAACUGGCCCAAGGUCUUAUAGAUAGGGAACUGUAGGGCUGGGAACUAUAUGGAACCAGUGAGACCAUCCUAAGUUCUUUUAUCCUUUAUCCUUUACCUACAUGCAGCCAAGCUAGAAGCUGUAUAUAUGUUCUCACUGACUUUUCAAACAAUCUCUGAGCAAAGGCUGCAUUUUUAGAGAUUUCUCAUUAUGGUUAAUAUUGACAUGUAUUUUUUUGUUUUUUUUUUAGUAGUGAGCUUAUUGUUUGUUCCUUGAGCAAAAAUAAGAGGACUCACAGCAGGUUCAAUGGUUCUGGAUGUCAGACCUCAACCCUAGUCUUGCAGGGACCAUUCCCAUCUUCCACCCCUCCAUGGCACAGAUGUAUGAUGUUAGAUCCUCUGAAAUUUUAGCUCAAGAAAAUUGGAUGGGACCUAAUCAGCUGAACAAACAAGGCUGCAAAUUGAUCCUGACAUGGGAAGUCAUCAGGAAUCUGUAACAAAAUUUCCAAGCUGUCAAAACAGUUCAAUAUGCAUUCACUUAGAGCAUGGGGGAUUAAAAAUUCCAAUUCUCCACCAGACACCAGUGAUGAGUGGAGAAAAUGAAUGGGCCGUUAUAAACCUAAUCUUCUGACGCUAAUUGUCACUGGAGCAGCACAGGACCCAAACAUCAUUCUCUCCUGCAGCAGACUUGGGAGUGCAAUUGGAUUUUGAUCUGGCUCUUUGUCGCCAGUCGGGGCAUUUCAGGACAGGACCCCUCUGGAAGAUGAGUCACUGUGCCUUCUAAACAGAGCAAGGACCCAGUCCUGGGGCAUGGUCAUGUCUUUCUGGCCUCCCUUGGCACCGCACAGCAAUGCUGGGUCCCUUCAAGUCAGGCAGUGGCACCAGGGCUACUGGGGUCUCUCAGUCAGAUCCAGCUGAAGGGCUGAGAGGAAGGCACACAUCCCAGGACUCUGUUAGUUUCCUGGGGCUACCAUAACAAAGUGCUCCAAUCUGGGUGGUCUAAACCACAGAUAUUUAUUGCCUCACCAUUCGAGAGGCUAGAAAUCUGAAACCAAGGUGUUGACAGAUUGGUUUCCUCUGAGACUGAGAUCAAGGCUCUGUUCCACCCCUCACUCCUAACUUCUAGUAGCUUACCAGCAAUCUUCAGCAUUCCUUGGCUUAUGGUUGCAUCAGCAUGAUCUCAGCCUCC
This is a long non-coding RNA of Macaca fascicularis (crab-eating macaque), 1580 nucleotides long. The record is from Ensembl. NCBI's taxonomy places the organism in Eukaryota, Metazoa, Chordata, Mammalia, Primates, Cercopithecidae.